AUGCUCUUAGUUCAAUUGUUAGAAUGCGAGUCUACAAAACUUGACGUUGUAGGUUCGAAUUUUAUUGAGCAUA
This 73-nucleotide transfer RNA is filed under the name Cucumis melo (muskmelon). It matches the Rfam family "tRNA". From Rfam's summary of the family: Transfer RNA (tRNA) molecules are approximately 80 nucleotides in length. Their secondary structure includes four short double-helical elements and three loops (D, anti-codon, and T loops). Further hydrogen bonds mediate the characteristic L-shaped molecular structure. tRNAs have two regions of fundamental functional importance: the anti-codon, which is responsible for specific mRNA codon recognition, and the 3' end, to which the tRNAs corresponding amino acid is attached (by aminoacyl-tRNA synthetases). tRNAs cope with the degeneracy of the genetic code in two manners: having more than one tRNA (with a specific anti-codon) for a particular amino acid; and 'wobble' base-pairing, i.e. permitting non-standard base-pairing at the 3rd anti-codon position. Lineage: Eukaryota; Viridiplantae; Streptophyta; Magnoliopsida; Cucurbitales; Cucurbitaceae. The record is from Rfam by way of RNAcentral. RNAcentral also lists the same sequence under 1 other name.